CACGUAGGGGGCAAGCGUUGUCCGGAUUUAUUGGGCGUAAAGGGCGCGUAGGCGGUUCGUUAAGUCCUGUGUGAAAUCCCCCGGCUCAACUGGGGAACUGCACAGGAAACUAGCGGGCUUGAGUUCGGGAGAGGGAAGCGGAAUUCCGGGUGUAGCGGUGAAGUGCGUAGAUAUCCGGAGGAACACCGGUGGCGAAGGCGGCUUCCUGGACCGACACUGACGCUGAGGCGCGAAAGCUAGGGGAGCAAACGGG
Molecule: ribosomal RNA, 253 nt
Filed under: uncultured bacterium
Lineage: Bacteria
Description: partial 16S ribosomal RNA
Rfam family: Bacterial small subunit ribosomal RNA
Source: RNAcentral